UACGUAGGGUGCGAGCGUUAAUCGGAAUUACUGGGCGUAAAGCGUGCGCAGGCGGUUUUGUAAGCCAGAUGUGAAAGCCCCGGGCUUAACCUGGGAAUGGCAUUUGGGACUGCAAGGCUCGAGUGCGGCAGAGGAGACUGGAAUUCCCGGUGUAGCAGUGAAAUGCGUAGAGAUCGGGAGGAACACCAGUGGCGAAGGCGGCUACCUGGACCAGCACUGACACUGAAGCACGAAAGCGUGGGGAGCAAACAGG
RNAcentral lists this ribosomal RNA (253 nucleotides) under uncultured bacterium. RNAcentral describes it as "partial 16S ribosomal RNA". It matches the Rfam family "Bacterial small subunit ribosomal RNA", at positions 524 to 776 of the family's 1533-position model. The record is from RNAcentral.